GAAAUACUCAGUCAGAGCUUCGUGGUAGGGUGUGGUGACGUUGACAGGAGCACGUAAUGAAUGCAUUGCACAUUUUAAGAUGCUUGAUACAGAUCUUGCAGACUAAGAUGUUAUAUUUUCUGCCAGGAUAUCCAUUGGUUAAGAAUGCCUCCUUGAGAAUCUUAAGCUUAUUAUGUUCACUUCCUCCAUACAAAGUUUAUAAGCUCAUCAAAUAAAUGCGGAGUGUCCUUGUACAUAGCUAUGUCUUUGGAACACUGGCUGAGCCUGCUGCUGGAUUCUCUAAAGAUGGAAAAAGAGAAAAAAUUAAUUUUCUUUGAGAUAUACAUGUCCAGAAAAUGCACCUACUCCUCAUCUAAUUGCUUGAACUGUAUAGUUAGUCCCAUACAUGUUGAUACGGGUAGCAAAAUUGCUGGCAACUUCCUUAUUAUCAACAAUCAUAAAAAUGUC
This 447-nucleotide long non-coding RNA is filed under the name Androctonus crassicauda. Lineage: Eukaryota; Metazoa; Arthropoda; Arachnida; Scorpiones; Buthidae. The record is from RNAcentral.